GAGGGUAUAGCUCAAGCAGAAGAGCAUGUGCUUAGCAACCAUGAGGUACUAGGUUCAAUUCCCAGUACCUUCA
RNAcentral lists this transfer RNA (73 nucleotides) under Camelus bactrianus (Bactrian camel). It matches the Rfam family "tRNA". Rfam says of the family: Transfer RNA (tRNA) molecules are approximately 80 nucleotides in length. Lineage: Eukaryota; Metazoa; Chordata; Mammalia; Artiodactyla; Camelidae. RNAcentral also lists the same sequence under 1 other name. The record is from Rfam by way of RNAcentral.